GCCCACGGGCUCCCGGGAAGGGGAGGCGCUCCCCCGGCUCCGGUGACACCGUCACCACGGCAACGCGGCCAUACUGGCCCCAACGGACCCGGGGCCUGGGCUGCGGCGGCGCGGCUUCGUGGGCAGAGCCGGCAGCAUGGACAGCCUCUUCGUGGAGGAGGUGGCCGCCUCCCUGGUCCGGGAGUUCCUCAGCAGAAAGGGCUUAAAGAAAACAUGUGUGACCAUGGACCAGGAACGCCCACGCUCUGACCUCAGCAUAAACAGCAGAAAUGAUCUCCGCAAGGUUUUGCAUCUUGAAUUUCUCUACAAGGAGAACAAGGCAAAGGAAAAUCCUCUAAAAACAAACCUUGAACUCAUUACCAGAUAUUUUCUGGAUCACUUUGGAAAUACUACUAACAAUUUCACUCAAGAAACACCAAUCCCUGCACUCUCAAUUCCAAAGAAAAAUAACAAAGUACCAUCAAGAUGCUCAGAGACCACGCUGGUAAAUAUAUAUGACCUUGCAGAUGAAGAUGCAGGAUGGAGAACAUCAUUGUCUGAAACAAGCAAAGCCAGGCAUGACAAUCUUGAUGGGGAUUUACUUGGUAACUUCGUAUCAUCCAAAAGGCCCCCCUACAAAAGUAAGCCCACCCAAGCUAUCCCAGGUGAAAGCCCCGCCGUGGCCCCUGCGUGGGAGAAGAUGGACAAGCUUCAGUCGUCAGAGCUUUCCUUGGACACAAAGAGGAUGGGCAAGAAGAUGAGGCCAAAGUCUGGCCUGAUUGUCCGAGGCAUGAUUACUGGGCCCAUGGCCAGUUCCCCGCAGGAUUCCCUCCGCAAACGCUCCCUGAGGCGGUCCCCGGCCUUGAGCAGCACGACCCAGGCCCCCGAGGAAGAGAGCUGGAAAGUGCCUGGGCUCUCCACCCGUGCCCCAGCCUGUCCCACGGCCCAGGAGGGCCUGGCUUCCGGCACUGGCUCCCCUUCCAGGAGCCCCCUGGGCCUGCUCAGUGAGCUGACCUCAGAAAAGCGGAGAACCACGCCCGGCAGCCCCCCUCACUUGUCCGGCAAAGGGCUGCAGCAGAGGGCGAGCAGCAGGUGGCGAGAUCUCGCAGAGGAUAGCCCGGCUGUGGAUGGCGGCCCCGAGGCCAACGGGUCGCCCUUGAAGUUCUCCUUGCCAGGUGGGACUUCCAGGCCGGCCCAGGAGAGGUUGGAAAGGACGUUCAAGAGGCAGGGGAGCCAGCCCCUGCCCCUCAGGAAAAAUCAGUUGCCAGUGCCCAACAAGGCUGAUGGCGAGCUGGGUGUCCUGCAGCUUGAGGAUGUGGAGGAUGAAUUGAUAAAGGAUGAAGUCAUCCUGUCUCCAGGUCCAUCGAUGCUCAAGCUGCAAAUAGUGUCAAAGCCAAUUGACCUCUCAGUGGCCAAGGACAUAAAGGCCCUUCUGUUCGGCUCCAGCUUUUGCUGUUUCAAUGAGGAAUGGAAGCUUCAGAGUUUUUCCUUUAAUGACAAAGCCUCGUUAAAAUACGGCAUUGUGCAGAACAAGGGGGGUCCCUGUGGGGUUCUGGCAGCUGUCCAAGGCUGUGUCCUACAAAAACUCCUGUUUGAAGGAGAUAGCGAAGCUGACUGCGUUCGGCAGCUGCAGCCUUCCAAUGCCCGCAGGACCCACUGCCUCGCUCUGGCCAUCGCAGACAUCGUGUGGCGGGCCGGGGGCCAUGAGAGAGCCGUGGUCACACUGGCUUCAGGAACACAGCAGUUCAGUCCAACAGGGAAAUACAAAGCAGAUGGAGUCUUAGAAACAGUACGGCUUUCUGGAAAAUUAUCACGCAACCUUUGGCUUUGUUUGGGGACGGUCUCCUUUCAUAUAACUCACACUGCACAGUUUGACCUGCUACGAGGAGCUGGUGACUUUUCUUCAAGAAAGCAUCCAUCAGUUCGAAGCGGGUCCCUACGGAUGCAUCCUGCUCACGCUGUCUGCCAUCCUGUCCAGGUCCACAGAGCUUGUCCGCCAGGACUUCGAUGUCCCCACCAGCCACCUGAUUGGAGCGCAUGGAUACUGCACCCAGGAACUUGUCAAUCUGCUCCUGACCGGGAAAGCCGUGUCCAAUGUUUUCAAUGACGUGGUGGAGCUGGAUUCUGGGAACGGGAACAUCACGCUGCUCAAAGGCAUAGCUGCACGCAGUGAUGUUGGGUUCUUAUCUCUCUUUGAGCACUACAAUGUGUGCCAGGUGGGCUGCUUCCUGAAGACGCCGAGGUUCCCCAUCUGGGUGGUGUGCAGUGAGAGCCACUUCAGCGUCCUCUUCAGCCUGCAGCCAGAGCUCCUGCGAGACUGGAGGGCCGAGAGGCUCUUUGACCUGUAUUACUAUGACGGCCUGGCCAACCAGCAGGAGCAGAUCCGGCUGACCGUUGACACCACCCAGACCAUCCCUGAGGACAGAGACAACGACCUCGUCCCGCCCCUUGAGCUCUGCAUCAGAACCAGGUGGAAGGGGGCAGCGGUGAACUGGAACGGCUCAGACCCCAUCCUGUGACCCUUCCUGUGGGUAAGCCUAUGGCUCUACCACUCAUCGCUGGGGGGUGACAGCUGAGCCCCAGGCCUCAGGAACAAGUCUCUCAGAAGAGUGUCACCCCCAUCUGGGCCAACAGUGCUGCAGAAGCGUCCAGAACCUCCCUGCCCCUUCCAUGAAGGGCCCCUAGGACUGUGAUGAGGGCCCAGAGUGCUGCUAUACAGCUCCCUCCCAGCUGAGCCAUGACUGCCAAGGAUUGGACCGCCUCUGUGCUUUUUGUCUGCAUCCCUCCCUUGCUCCCUGCUGGGCCACCUCUCCCCUCUUCAAGCCUGUGAUAUGGUUAGCCUGGGCACCCUGGGCUCGUUAUUUCUGGUAUUUGGCUUUCUAUAAAGCAGGAGUCAAACCCAUGCAGAGGACGGAGAGACUCAUUUCUUCUGUUGUGGCAAAGGAAGCAUGAGGUCUGCGUGGUUCAUGGCUGGGGUGGGAACAGUGAUGGUGGAGAGCCCUGGAGACCUGUGAGCUAAGACAUCACCUAAUGAGAGUCUCUGCAGGCAGGCUUUGCCCUCUGGUCUGGUAGUGUCCCUGGCGGGGCUUCUGGUCUAGCCUGAUCCUGUCUGGAUCAGCCCCAGGUCUAAGGCACCAGGCUCUGUAAGGCAACUCAGGCCACCUGGGAGCCUGUCUCAGGGCAGACCUGGAUCCCUGCGAGGCCCCAGGAGGAUGGUCAUGUGGACCUGGCCAAGUGCAUAUGGGGGAAGAACCUUCUAGGGAGGGACCUCUUGGCCACAGAGGGCAAUAAGAUGAGAAUGAGCAGAGGGAUAGUCCCCCCCCCCGCCCCCCAGUGGCUGCAGUAAGGCACUUGUGAAGAGAACUGCCUGAAAUGUGAGUGGGCAGAGCCUGGGGACGCCCUCAUGUUCCAGAGCAAGGGGCGGGGGGCAUAGGUACAAAUGGGAAGAAUAAUCACUCAUAAAGGGAAAUUUGUACAGUUGCAGCAUCCUUGAUUCCAUGGGGUUACAUCCUACUGGUUUUAAAAAGGAAUAUGAAGUUAGGGACUGUGCUCUGCAAUGGCUCCCAACAGUGGGAUGAGCAAGGGCACCCGGAGGCGGAGCACUGGCCUCGGGGAGCCCCCAUCAUGAGCCCGUCCAUGUGAGGAGCCGGGAGCAGCAUGGCAGCAGAGCGCUCAGCAGCGUGGCCCCGUGCCGGCCCCUGCUGCGCCCAGCGAGCGCUUGGGCUGGAGCUCUGAGCUCCGAGCUCCGCAGCGGGCCCCGUAGAGGUGGGUGUUUGCACGAAAGGACUGGGGUGUGAGCUCCUCCCAUGUCUGCCCUGGCCCAGGGAGAGGCCCAGGAGAGUUGUAGACGCUGGCUGGCGGCUGGUCCCAAGCCUCUGUGUGCCCUUCCGGUGCUCAGGACGCAAGCAGCUCAGGGACCGUGUUCCCUCUGCAGCCCUGGCUAAAAGGACAUCCCUUCUCUUUAUGUGCCAGGCAUUUGGUGGUGACAACUCAACGGCCUGUUUUGCAUUCUCGUGGGCCGGGCACGAGUCGUGGCUGGAUUAUUGUGGGUCUUUAGGGAGGAGCCGGGAGGGAAGUGAGAGGGCAGGGCGUGCUUUGUCCAAGCUGUGUGGAGGCCCCCCUGGGGUUUGCUGUGUAAACUCCAGUGGCCAUUCACAGCAGGCGUCCAGCAGAAAUGCUUCCUAUAUGUCCCUGAAAUGUUUAUGCAUUUGUUUUCCUUGGCCAGAGACAGGCCGCUCCAGCUGAGCACCGGGGGGAGGAAGUCAGUUUCCCUGUAGCAGGCUUGUUUAUCAGCCUGGGAAGGAAAAGUGUGUCUUUUCAAUGAAACUCACUUAACCUCCUGACCAGGGUCCUGUUGGCAGGGCUGGAGAAAUAAAAAUAUUCCCAGCUUUGCUUGAAAAACCCAGUUCCAACAAAUUAUGGAAAUGCUUUUCUAGAAGCCAAGAUGCGGGUACAUGCAGUUUGACACCCGGUGCCUGGGGCUUCCUGGGACGCAAGAUGAGCAAAGCCGUAGCACCACCCUCUCCCAGGUCCGGAAGUGAGAGUGGACCCACAGUACGGCCACCAGGUCUGCAAGAAUGAAAUAGAAGCCCAUGCCUCCUUGCAGGCGGCUGUUCUCCACCCGAGGCACAGGGUUUUCUAGGGAGACUGUCGGUAGGUUCAGCGGGUCCAGAGUCUCCCGCCCAAAUUAUAUUCAAAUCUUUGUGUUCAUGUACGUAUGUGUAAUUUUCCAGGGAGAGGGUCUACUUGACUUGGACCAGUACCCUCCUGAAUUCCCCAGAAAAAGUUAAGAGUCCUAGAGCUGAGUGGCUUCCCCAGGACCGACCUGGGCAUGUCCACCCCAUCUGUGCUCAAAUGUGGGCUGGGUUAGUGAACAAGCCGAUCUCAGGGAGGUGCGAAUUCUUGGUCUCUGGAGGAAAGAGCCAGUGGAUCCUGCUGCUCUUCCAGCAGUUAAGAGCAGUCUCAAGGCCACUCAAGCCCGUACUCUGCCAUUAGUGGAAACAUGCCCCUCCCCCUGCUCCUAGGCGGGCGUCCAGUCACUAGGGACCUCUCCCGAGUCGGAUGAUUCCUGCUCUAUCCCCUGCUGAUGGCGGCUCCCAGUACCUGCUCCCACCCAGCUUCUGGUGGUGCAGUCAGCCUCCUCCUUCCCCUUUUAAGAAGACCCGAGUCUUCCUUCUGCAGGAUCCACAUUUGAGCCAUGCAAAGCACCCACACAUCUUUGCCUUCCCAGUUCUGGAGGUCACACCUUUCCCCCCUCAGCCUGCCUGUCUGCUUAGCCACCCGUUGGGAACAGCAAUGUCUCCUGUUCUCAGGUGGGAGUCAGGGACCAGCCCACACUGCGGGUGCACAUGGCAAGCUUUUAAACAGCUUUCUGGAAGCCUCCCUCACUUGGCUUUAGGAGAGGAGAUGCAGACCUCCGGGCCCCAUGGCUGGGGGAAGGGAUCCCAGCACACUGACGCCUCUCUCAAAGAAUUCCUCAGUAGCUACUGGCCUCUUCCACUGCGAGC
Molecule: RNA transcript, 5486 nt
Organism: Mirounga angustirostris (Northern elephant seal)
Lineage: Eukaryota; Metazoa; Chordata; Mammalia; Carnivora; Phocidae
Gene: MINDY4
Gene name: MINDY lysine 48 deubiquitinase 4
Exons: 18
Source: RefSeq, a predicted model, not a curated record